Octodon degus (degu) is the source of this 373-nucleotide long non-coding RNA. RefSeq lists it as uncharacterized. NCBI's taxonomy places the organism in Eukaryota, Metazoa, Chordata, Mammalia, Rodentia, Octodontidae. The record is from RefSeq and is a predicted model, not a curated record. The transcript has 3 exons.
CGAAGGUGAAGUUGAACAAAGCCUAGAGAUUUUGCUGAAUGUAGAGACUGAUCAUUGAUUUCAGGAGACUGACAUGGCUAAAAUGAGUUACCCUGAAGGCCCAUCAUUGAUUCUCUCCUUUUAUCCAGAAAAAUCUUGGCACCUGCCUAGAUAAAGGUUUAAGCUUCAUCUCAGACCAGCUGCAUCUUGCUAAGAAGAAGCAGGUGUCACCGCCUCAUGUCAGCGGGAAGCUCCCGAUAGCGCCAUUUCCUAGAGAAAGGCCUGCCAAGCUCAUUACCGUGUCCUGUGUGCUUAAUGGAGCAAUCUUGAAACUCUAAAAGUCACCUCGUUGAGGGUUUGUUGUUCUUCAAUAAAGGUUGCGGAAGCAUCGAUU